AUAUAUCUGGGGUGUGCGUUGUAUAUGCACUGUGUUGACCGAACAUUUUUAUUUAUAUAUCGGGAUCCUGUCAUGAGUAACUAUGGCAUGCCUUUUCAUUUGGAAGUCAGAAAAUACUUUUGUGGAGCCCACCUGCUUUUAAUGCGGGUUCAAACAAAAUAUAUACUCAGACGGCACCAUCGGAUAUCUU
This is a non-coding RNA of 190 nucleotides. It matches the Rfam family "6S / SsrS RNA". From Rfam's summary of the family: E. coli 6S RNA was the first non coding RNA to be sequenced, but its function was unknown until recently.